This 433-nucleotide ribosomal RNA is filed under the name uncultured bacterium. RNAcentral describes it as "partial 16S ribosomal RNA". It matches the Rfam family "Bacterial small subunit ribosomal RNA", at positions 29 to 507 of the family's 1533-position model. The record is from RNAcentral.
AACGAACGCUGGCGGCAUGCCUAACACAUGCAAGUCGAACGAGACCUUCGGGUCUAGUGGCGCACGGGUGCGUAACGCGUGGGAUCCUGCCCUUAGGUUCGGAAUAACUCCCCGAAAGGGGUGCUAAUACCGGAUAAUGUCUUCGGACCAAAGAUUUAUCGCCUUUGGACGGGCCCGCGUUGGAUUAGCUAGUUGGUAGGGUAAAAGCCUACCAAGGCGACGAUCCAUAGCUGGUCUGAGAGGAUGAUCAGCCACACUGGGACUGAGACACGGCCCAGACUCCUACGGGAGGCAGCAGUGGGGAAUAUUGGACAAUGGGCGAAAGCCUGAUCCAGCAAUGCCGCGUGAGUGAUGAAGGCCUUAGGGUUGUAAAGCUCUUUUACCCGGGAUGAUAAUGACAGUACCGGGAGAAUAAGCUCCGGCUAACUCCGUG